UACAGAAAACUUGGAGAUGUGCACUUGGA
RNAcentral lists this non-coding RNA (29 nucleotides) under Rattus norvegicus (Norway rat). The record is from RNAcentral. Lineage: Eukaryota; Metazoa; Chordata; Mammalia; Rodentia; Muridae.